GCGAGUGUAGUGUAACGGUAGCACGCAGGCCUUCAGAGCCUGAUAAUCGGCGUCCAACCGAGUGGUGCGGGUUCGAAUCCCGUCACUCGCUCCA
RNAcentral lists this transfer RNA (94 nucleotides) under Pseudoalteromonas sp. CO325X. Its description in RNAcentral is "tRNA-Sec". It matches the Rfam family "tRNA". From Rfam's summary of the family: Transfer RNA (tRNA) molecules are approximately 80 nucleotides in length. Lineage: Bacteria; Pseudomonadati; Pseudomonadota; Gammaproteobacteria; Alteromonadales; Pseudoalteromonadaceae. The record is from RNAcentral.